RNAcentral lists this ribosomal RNA (468 nucleotides) under uncultured bacterium. Its description in RNAcentral is "partial 16S ribosomal RNA". It matches the Rfam family "Bacterial small subunit ribosomal RNA", at positions 28 to 507 of the family's 1533-position model. The record is from RNAcentral.
GACGAACGCUGGCGGCGUGCUUAACACAUGCAAGUCGAACGGAAAGGCCCUGCUUUUGUGGGGUGCUCGAGUGGCGAACGGGUGAGUAACACGUGAGUAACCUGCCCUUGACUUUGGGAUAACUUCAGGAAACUGGGGCUAAUACCGGAUAGGAGCUCCUGCUGCAGGGUGGGGGUUGGAAAGUUUCGGCGGUUGGGGAUGGACUCGCGGCUUAUCAGCUUGUUGGUGGGGUAGUGGCUUACCAAGGCUUUGACGGGUAGCCGGCCUGAGAGGGUGACCGGCCACAUUGGGACUGAGAUACGGCCCAGACGCCUACGGGGGGCAGCAGUGGGGAAUAUUGCACAAUGGGCGGAAGCCUGAUGCAGCAACGCCGCGUGCGGGAUGACGGCCUUCGGGUUGUAAACCGCUUUCGCCUGUGACGAAGCGUGAGUGACGGUAAUGGAUAAAGAAGCACCGGCUAACUACGUG